RNAcentral lists this ribosomal RNA (490 nucleotides) under uncultured bacterium. RNAcentral describes it as "partial 16S ribosomal RNA". It matches the Rfam family "Bacterial small subunit ribosomal RNA", at positions 29 to 506 of the family's 1533-position model. The record is from RNAcentral.
GUGAACGCUGGCGGUAGGCCUAACACAUGCAAGUCGAACGGCAGCACAGUAAGAGCUUGCUCUUACGGGUGGCGAGUGGCGGACGGGUGAGGAAUACAUCGGAAUCUACUUUUUCGUGGGGGAUAACGUAGGGAAACUUACGCUAAUACCGCAUACGACCUACGGGUGAAAGCAGGGGAUCUUCGGACCUUGCGCGAUUGAAUGAGCCGAUGUCGGAUUAGCUAGUUGGCGGGGUAAAGGCCCACCAAGGCGACGAUCCGUAGCUGGUCUGAGAGGAUGAUGACCCACACUGAAACUGAGCCACGGUCCAGACUCCUACGGAGGGCAGAAGUGGGGAAUUUUGGACAAGGGGCGAAAGCCUGACCCAGCCAUACCGGGGGGGUGAAGAAGGCCUUCGGGUUGUAAAGCCCUUUUGUUGGGAAAGAAAAGCAGCAGGUUAAACCCCCGCUGUUCUGACGGUACCCAAAAAAAAAGCACCGGCUAACUUCGG